GACGAACCGUGCGAACGUUAUUCGGAAUCACUGGGCUUAAAGGGUGCGUAGGCGGGUUGCCAAGUCUGUGGUGAAAUCCUCCGGCUUAACCGGAGAACUGCCGUGGAUACUGGCGACCUCGAGGGGUAUAGGGGCUUGCGGAACUGUGCGUGGAGCGGUGAAAUGCGUUGAUAUGCACAGGAACUCCGGUGGCGUAAGCGGCGAGCUGGAUACCUUCUGACGCUGAGGCACGAAAGCCAGGGGAGCGAACGGG
Molecule: ribosomal RNA, 253 nt
Filed under: uncultured bacterium
Lineage: Bacteria
Description: partial 16S ribosomal RNA
Rfam family: Bacterial small subunit ribosomal RNA
Source: RNAcentral